This 485-nucleotide ribosomal RNA is filed under the name uncultured bacterium. RNAcentral describes it as "bacterial SSU rRNA". It matches the Rfam family "Bacterial small subunit ribosomal RNA", at positions 30 to 512 of the family's 1533-position model. The record is from RNAcentral.
AUUGAACGCUGGCGGAAUGCUUUACACAUGCAAGUCGAACGGCAGCACGGGGCAACCUGGUGGCGAGUGGCGAACGGGUGAGUAAUACAUCGGAACGUGCCCAAUCGUGGGGGAUAACGUAGCGAAAGUUACGCUAAUACCGCAUACGAUCUACGGAUGAAAGCGGGGGAUCGCAAGACCUCGCGCGAAUGGAGCGGCCGAUGUCAGAUUAGGUAGUUGGUGGGGUAAAGGCUCACCAAGCCAACGAUCUGUAGCUGGUCUGAGAGGACGACCAGCCACACUGGAACUGAGACACGGACCAGACUCCUACGGGAGGCAGCAGUGAGGAAUAUUGGUCAAUGGGCGAAGCCUGAACCAGCCAUCCCGCGUGAAGGAAGACAGCCUUACGGGUUGUAAACUUCUUUUCUGUCAGAAGAAUAGCUUGUCGAGACGAGUGAUGCCGGUAUUGACACGGAAUAAGUCAUCGGCUAACCUACCGUGCCAGC